This 131-nucleotide ribosomal RNA is filed under the name Lachnospiraceae bacterium. Its description in RNAcentral is "partial 23S ribosomal RNA". It matches the Rfam family "Bacterial large subunit ribosomal RNA", at positions 2795 to 2925 of the family's 2925-position model. The record is from RNAcentral. Lineage: Bacteria; Bacillati; Bacillota; Clostridia; Lachnospirales; Lachnospiraceae.
CCCCUCAAGAUGAGAUAUCCCAUGGAGGAAUCCAGUAAGACCCCUUAAAGACGAUAAGGUAGAUAGGCUUCAGGUGGAAGUGCGGUAACGCACGGAGCUGAGAAGUACUAAUCGGUCGAGGGCUUGACCUG